CCUACGGGAGGCAGCAGUAGGGAAUCUUGCGCAAUGGGCGAAAGCCUGACGCAGCCAUGCCGCGUGAAUGAUGAAGGUCUUAGGAUUGUAAAAUUCUUUCACCGGGGACGAUAAUGACGGUACCCGGAGAAGAAGCCCCGGCUAACUUCGUGCCAGCAGCCGCGGUAAUACGAAGGGGGCUAGCGUUGCUCGGAAUUACUGGGCGUAAAGGGAGCGUAGGCGGAUAGUUUAGUCAGAGGUGAAAGCCCAGGGCUCAACCUUGGAAUUGCCUUUGAUACUGGCUAUCUUGAGUAUGGAAGAGGUAUGUGGAACUCCGAGUGUAGAGGUGAAAUUCGUAGAUAUUCGGAAGAACACCAGUGGCGAAGGCGACAUACUGGUCCAUUACUGACGCUGAGGCUCGAAAGCGUGGGGAGCAAACAGGAUUAGAUACCCUGGUAGUCCACGCCGUAAACGAUGAGUGCUAGUUGUCGGCAUGCANGCAUGUCGGUGACGCGAGCUACGACAUUAAGUACGACCUCCGCCGUCGGGGUAGGUACGGUCGGCGAGAAGUUAAACGUACGAAGAAGUAGUUACGGCGUGNGAGNGCCGACGGACGACGACGAGGGAGGAGG
This 611-nucleotide ribosomal RNA is filed under the name uncultured bacterium. Its description in RNAcentral is "bacterial SSU rRNA". The stretch from base 1 to 522 matches the Rfam family "Bacterial small subunit ribosomal RNA", at positions 338 to 873 of the family's 1533-position model. The record is from RNAcentral.